Molecule: ribosomal RNA, 396 nt
Filed under: uncultured bacterium
Lineage: Bacteria
Description: bacterial SSU rRNA
Rfam family: Bacterial small subunit ribosomal RNA
Source: RNAcentral
GACGAACGCUGGCGGCGUGCUUAACACAUGCAAGUCGAGCGGUAAGGCCCUUUCGGGGGUACACGAGCGGCGAACGGGUGAGUAACACGUGGGUGACCUGCCUUUAGCUCUGGGAUAAGCCUGGGAAACCGGGUCUAAUACCGGAUAUGACUCCGCGGCGCAUGUUGUGGGGUGGAAAGCCUUGUGCGGCUGGAGAUGGGCCCGCGGCCUAUCAGCUUGUUGGUGGGGUGAUGGCCUACCAAGGCGACGACGGGUAGCCGGCCUGAGAGGGCGACCGGCCACACUGGGACUGAGACACGGCCCAGACUCCUACGGGAGGCAGCAGUGGGGAAUCUUGCGCAAUGGGCGAAAGCCUGACGCAGCGACGCCGCGUGAGGGAUGACGGCCUGGUGUAAC